RNAcentral lists this transfer RNA (95 nucleotides) under Dilophotes sp. K LB-2014. Its description in RNAcentral is "tRNA-Glu". The record is from RNAcentral. Lineage: Eukaryota; Metazoa; Arthropoda; Insecta; Coleoptera; Lycidae.
AUUGGGAAAAUUUCCCAAUCAGAAAUAUUCAAUUAUUCAUAUAGUUUAUUCUAAAACAUUACAUUUUCAUUGUAAAAUUAAACAAUCUUUUAUGA